AUUCUACACUAAGUCGAAGAAGCAACUCUUCUUGAAAUUUGGAAAAACUGAAGAUCUCAACCUUGAGCAAAUUAGUCCGUUUAUUCAAAUUGAUAUAAAAUGCGACGAUAAUAGAAUUUUAACAAAAGCAAUUGAGUCAAUUGUAAGCCAUCGGAGAGGGAUAUGCAGGGUAUAAAAGAAAUCGCAUUUCUUGCAGACUGCAUCAGAGCAAUCACAACUGAGUGUUCACCAAGUUAAACAGUAAAUCUACCAAAAUGUUCAAGCUUGCAAGCCUAGUUCUCCUCGUUUUGGCUCUCAUUGCUGCAGUGGCUGUUGCUGAUCCACGUCCCCAGGUUCUCUAUCCAGGAUUGGGAUACUCAUAUGGAUCCUAUGUUCCAGCUGUAUCUGCUUAUUCCUCACCAUAUUAUUUGCGUUGAGAUUCGUUAUGCAUAUAAUGGUUAACAAUCUUUGCACAAUCUAGGCCGAAUGAUUUCGAUUCAACGGAAACUUAUGACAUUGUUAAUUUAAAACCUCUAAAAAUAUAAUUCUAACAUUUUUGGGACGAAAAUAAAAGUGUUU
This is a long non-coding RNA of Hermetia illucens (black soldier fly), 558 nucleotides long. RefSeq lists it as uncharacterized. The record is from RefSeq and is a predicted model, not a curated record. NCBI's taxonomy places the organism in Eukaryota, Metazoa, Arthropoda, Insecta, Diptera, Stratiomyidae. The transcript is spliced from 3 exons.